UAUCAGGUUGAUAUAAAAGCCUGGGAACAAUCGCUUGGCAUUCCAGUGGGCUUUACUCUGCCAAAAUGAAUUUCGUAUCUUUCUUUUUGAUCUGCCUUGUUUUGAUCAUUGCUUUCGCUAAUCCUAGCGAGGCUUUGCUCCAAAAUAUCAUUAAGGCAGUUGGAUCUACUGGUGUGAAAGUUGUCAAUGCCAUCUACAACCUCUUCGACGUUGUGCCAUAAAAUUAGAAGAAAUACAUUUUGCUAGCGAA
Long non-coding RNA from Hermetia illucens (black soldier fly), 250 nucleotides. RefSeq lists it as uncharacterized. The transcript has 2 exons. The record is from RefSeq and is a predicted model, not a curated record. NCBI's taxonomy places the organism in Eukaryota, Metazoa, Arthropoda, Insecta, Diptera, Stratiomyidae.